AUGGCAAUAGCUUGAUUAGAUCUAACAACAGUGUUUUGUCUUGUGCAAAAAUGUAGGAAUUCGACUCAAGAUCCAACGAGGUUGAUGAGCUACCUAUGCAAAGGGAUUACCAUGGAAGCGACAAAAACAAGGAAAAGAGGGACAAACAAGCUGCUCUAGAAAAGAUUCUGAAUUUACAACAGCAAUUAGCUGCCAAAGAGAAUCAUGAGUUAGAAAUAGAACAGUUGCAGGGAAAACUGGAAGUUGUGAAGCAUCAAGGUUUAGAAUCAAAGGAGAAGAUAGAUGUACCGAGUCAGGAACUAAAGGAUAAGAAUGAUGAAAUUGAAGCAUUGGAGUUGCUGAACAUGACUCUGUUUAUCGUGGAAAGGAAAAAGCAAUGAUCAGUUACAAGAUGCUCUGAAGGAGCUGAUAAAUGAAAAGGUUAUCUGAAGAGGACAUAGAUGCCACCUGUGCUCUCCUUCUCCUUUGUUCAAAAUGGGAAGAGGAAAUUAGAAACCCAAACUGGCACCCUUUCCAGGUUGAAAUGGUUGAUGGAAAAGAAAUGGUACAACCCCUUGA
Panicum virgatum (switchgrass) is the source of this 558-nucleotide long non-coding RNA. RefSeq lists it as uncharacterized. NCBI's taxonomy places the organism in Eukaryota, Viridiplantae, Streptophyta, Magnoliopsida, Poales, Poaceae. The record is from RefSeq and is a predicted model, not a curated record. The transcript has 3 exons.